UGGGGAAUUUUGGACAAUGGGGGCAACCCUGAUCCAGCAAUGCCGCGUGCGGGAAGAAGGCCCUAGGGUUGUAAACCGCUUUUGUCAGGGAAGAAAAGCUCUGUGCUAAUACCACGGGGUGAUGACGGUACCUGAAGAAUAAGCACCGGCUAACUACGUGCCAGCAGCCGCGGUAAUACGUAGGGUGCAAGCGUUAAUCGGAAUUACUGGGCGUAAAGAGUGCGUAGGCGGCUAUGCAAGACAGGUGUGAAAUCCCCGGGCUUAACCUGGGAACUGCACUUGUGACUGCAUGGCUAGAGUACGGCAGAGGGGGAUGGAAUUCCGCGUGUAGCAGUGAAAUGCGUAGAUAUGCGGAGGAACACCGAUGGCGAAGGCAAUCCCCUGGGCCUGUACUGACGCU
RNAcentral lists this ribosomal RNA (400 nucleotides) under uncultured bacterium. RNAcentral's name for it is "bacterial SSU rRNA". It matches the Rfam family "Bacterial small subunit ribosomal RNA", at positions 355 to 747 of the family's 1533-position model. The record is from RNAcentral.